This 404-nucleotide ribosomal RNA is filed under the name Verrucomicrobiota bacterium. Its description in RNAcentral is "Verrucomicrobia bacterium partial 16S ribosomal RNA". It matches the Rfam family "Bacterial small subunit ribosomal RNA", at positions 355 to 776 of the family's 1533-position model. Lineage: Bacteria; Pseudomonadati; Verrucomicrobiota. The record is from RNAcentral.
UGGGGAAUAUUGCGCAAUGGGGGCAACCCUGACGCAGCAACGCCGCGUGCGGGACGACGGCCUUCGGGUUGUAAACCGCUUUCAGCAGGGAAGAUAGUGACGGUACCUGCACAAGAAGCCCCGGCUAACUACGUGCCAGCAGCCGCGGUAAUACGUAGGGGGCGAGCGUUAUCCGGAUUUAUUGGGUUUAAAGGGAGCGUAGGCCGUUUGGUAAGCGUGUUGUGAAAUGUAGGAGCUCAACUUCUAGAUUGCAGCGCGAACUGUCAGACUAGAGUGCGCACAACGUAGGCGGAAUUCAUGGUGUAGCGGUGAAAUGCUUAGAUAUCAUGAAGAACUCCGAUUGCGAAGGCAGCUUACGGGAGCGCAACUGACGCUGAAGCUCGAAGGUGCGGGUAUCGAACAGG